CUGUGCCUGACCUCAUCAGCUGCAGCCUGUCUGCGUCUUUCUCCAGGGCGUCAACCAAGAGGAAAGAGUCCUCCGCCGGCUCGUAGACAUCUCGGAAGUCUCCUCUUCCUGCGUGGGAGUAAACUGGCAAGCACACAGUUUCCGGACCACAGCUGCGGAGUUUCUUCACUUCAUCUACGUCUUCGUCAAUAAAAAAAAAAGGGGGGCUGGGUGAGUCUUGGUUAGGAUGCUUGUGGGAGUCCAGGCCAGGCCUCCCCUUUACAUGGCUCCAUCCUCCCCCUCCCCCUCCUCCUCCUCCUCCUCCUCCUCCUCAAUGGAUGCCAUCUGGGAAGAAGAAGAGGAUCCUUGUAGAGACCAGCUGAAGGAACAUCUUCUCUGAGCUGAAGCUCUGAGAUGAGUGCAGAGUUUCCGGACCACAACGGAGAAGUUCCUUCACUCCAUUCAUGCCUUCUUCCGUACUC
This is a long non-coding RNA of Perca fluviatilis (European perch), 461 nucleotides long. RefSeq lists it as uncharacterized. The record is from RefSeq and is a predicted model, not a curated record. NCBI's taxonomy places the organism in Eukaryota, Metazoa, Chordata, Actinopteri, Perciformes, Percidae. The transcript has 3 exons.